GGGGUUGUGGCUCAGUGGUAGAGUACCCACCUUGCAUGUGUGAGGCCCUGAGGCCCUGGGUUCAAUCCUCAGCACCACA
Molecule: transfer RNA, 79 nt
Filed under: Marmota monax (woodchuck)
Lineage: Eukaryota; Metazoa; Chordata; Mammalia; Rodentia; Sciuridae
Description: tRNA.Ala
Rfam family: tRNA
About the family: Transfer RNA (tRNA) molecules are approximately 80 nucleotides in length. Their secondary structure includes four short double-helical elements and three loops (D, anti-codon, and T loops). Further hydrogen bonds mediate the characteristic L-shaped molecular structure. tRNAs have two regions of fundamental functional importance: the anti-codon, which is responsible for specific mRNA codon recognition, and the 3' end, to which the tRNAs corresponding amino acid is attached (by aminoacyl-tRNA synthetases). tRNAs cope with the degeneracy of the genetic code in two manners: having more than one tRNA (with a specific anti-codon) for a particular amino acid; and 'wobble' base-pairing, i.e. permitting non-standard base-pairing at the 3rd anti-codon position.
Source: RNAcentral